GGCAUGCACUAGGAUGAGUGUGUGGGGGUGGGUAGAGAUGCACACGGGAUUGGAGGCGCCUGUGGGCCAUUUGGAGGGAUCUACAGGUGGGGCAUCCCUAGUAGCUCACAGGUGGGCUUCCUGGUGGUGUGUGCAAAGUAAUUCGUAGGAUCUGUAGCACGUUUAUGCCCUCAAGACCCUAGCUUCUCUUCUCCCAGCCUCUCCCCGUUCCCCAGUCAUGUAGCACACCUCUGAUUUCUGGAUGGGGUAAGGAAGAGGUUAAUCUCUUUGGCACCAUUCCACACAGCUGGGGAAGCCACGUGCUUACUCACAGGCUCUCACCUUCCCCAUGGGAGAAACCACAGGCUGAGAAGGUCUCUCCAGGCGCUCAACUGUGCUACCUUUGGGGAGGUGUAAUGAGAAUAGGGUGAAAUGGUUUCUCUUACCCUUUCCAGUGUGGCCAAUCUUAGCUUUCCUUUCCCCUUCCUUCCUUCCUUCCUUCCUUCCUCCCUUCCUCCCUCCCUCCCUCCCUCCCUCCCUCCCUCCCUCCCUCUCCAUUCAUUCAUUCAUUCUUUCUUUCUUUCUUUCUUUCUUUCUUUCCCCUCCAGUGGUGUGCUGGAACUUCUGUGUUGGACCCCAGAUUUCCACAAAGGCACUCUUGUUUGUGGGUGUUACGACUUUGUUAAAUUAACAGUUGUUAAGCGGAGCAUGGAGGGCCAACUAGCUGGUACCUUAUCCUUAGAACUUUCAAGCAACUCUGUCCCAAACCACUUUAUUUACUCUCUGGAGAGCUAUUUGGGACCAUGCUCACGGUUAUCACGUGAUCUAGCAGAAGGGCGCAGGCUCCAUGAACUCGAGGAAGGGAACCAGAGGAAAGUGACAGUUUGCGGAUUUCUCCCCCCAUGGAUCGUUGUGAGGAUCCAAAGAGCAUAUGGCUCAAGGGCAGAUCAUAAUAAUGUUAACGGUGGCGAGGUAUGCCUGCUUUUUCAACGUAUGAACGCAUUUCAAGAUACUCACCAUGGUCGCCUGGUUUCAGAGUCGCUGUAGCCUCUGACAGUCGCAGAUUCUUCCUGCACGUACCGAUUCCAGGAGGACCCAGGAAACCCUUCCUCGUCAGGGCUGUGCAACGGGGUCGCAAGAGCUGGGAGCCCCUGGCCCCGGCCACCAAUGGCCAGAAACCUUACACACGUACAUACCCCUCCUGGGACGCCCUGGCUGCUCACUGAGCUGUGAGAAGUAUCAGCAGGUGAGCUGGGGGGCUCAGGGCCCUGGGAGAUUCUCUUGCGGGGGGCGGCGGGGUGUUGAGGGAGCCAGAGGGGGACCUGGGCCACAGCAUCCACCCAUCAUCCCACGGCCCGGGGCAGUUACCUGCACCGACACAGACAUGCACACGGGCAUCUGUACAGGGACCUGGGACGUGCGUGAGACCUUUCCGUGCGUGUGACGAUAGAGGCACGCGCGCGAGCUGCCUCCCAUGUCACUGAUGCCAGGAGCCCUUCUUUACGGAACCCAGAUGCGCACUCGUGCCAACGCUCGCCCGCGCGCGCACGUCGACAAGCCUGCGCCUACCAAGGCGUGUCUAAGGCUAAGACACAGAUCUCAGUCUUAAGGCCUACGCCACGUGGCUUGUUACUGACGUUCAUUAACGCCAGCCCGUCUUGUGACCCCUACCUGCGCGACCCCGACAUCCACGUGACACGUAUGCGCGUGGACACGUACAUGGGUAGUGAAAGCGCCCGUCUGAGCCUUUCUCGUCCACCCUCCAGGCUGGAGCCCCUUGGCCAGCAGGGACAGUUCCGGUGAAAUUCUCUGACCCUCCACCGGGCAGAGAGUAGAUGUAUCAUUAAAGCUCGUGUAAAUGA
Long non-coding RNA from Leopardus geoffroyi (Geoffroy's cat), 1841 nucleotides. RefSeq lists it as uncharacterized. NCBI's taxonomy places the organism in Eukaryota, Metazoa, Chordata, Mammalia, Carnivora, Felidae. The record is from RefSeq and is a predicted model, not a curated record. The transcript is spliced from 4 exons.